Molecule: long non-coding RNA, 2216 nt
Filed under: Oncorhynchus mykiss (rainbow trout)
Lineage: Eukaryota; Metazoa; Chordata; Actinopteri; Salmoniformes; Salmonidae
Description: lncRNA (ENSOMYG00000064207.1)
Source: RNAcentral
AGAUUAUAGAAUGGAUCAUGGUCUGUAGGUACCAGUGUUAGAUUAUAGAAUGGAUCAUGGUCUGUAGGUGUACCAGUGUUAGAUUAUAGAAUGGGUCAUGGUGUGUAGGGUACCAGUGCUUAGAUUAUAGAAUGGAUCAUGGUGUGUAGGGUACCAGUGUUAGAUUAUAGAAUGGGUCAUGGUGGUGUAGGGUACCAGUGUUAGAUUAUAGAAUGGAUCAUGGGUGUGUAGGGUACCAGUGUGUUAGAUUAUAGAAUGGAUCAUGGUCUGUAGGGUUACCAGUGUUAGAUUAUAGAAUGGAUCAUGGUGUGUGUAGGGUACCGUGUUAGUUUAUAGAAUGGAUCAUGGUCUGUAGGGUACCAGUGUUAGAUUAUAGAAUGGAUCAUGGUCUGUAGGGGACCAGUGUUAGAUUAUAGAAUGGAUCAUGGUCUGUAGGGUACCAGUGUUAGAUUAUAGAAUGGAUCAUGGUGUGUGUAGGGUACCAGUGUUAGAUUAUAGAAUGGAUCAUGGUGUGGUACCAGUGUUAGAUUAUAGAAUGGAUCAUGGUGUGGUACCAGUGUUAGAUUAUAGAAUGGAUCAUGGUGUGGUACCAGUGUUAGAUUAUAGAAUGGAUCAUGGUGUGUAGGGUACCAGUGUUAGAUUAUAGAAUGGAUCAUGGUGUGUAGGGUACCAGUGUUAGAUUAUAGAAUGGAUCAUGGUGUGUAGGGUACCAGUGUUAGAUUAUAGAAUGGAUCAUGGUGUGUAGGGUACCAGUGUUAGAUUAUAGAAUGGAUCAUGGUGUGUAGAGUACCAGUGUUAGAUUAUAGAAUGGAUCAUGGUGUGUAGGGUACCAGUGUUAGAUUAUAGAAUGGAUCAUGGUGUGUAGGGUACCAGUGUUAGAUUAUAGAAUGGAUCAUGGUCUGUAGGGUACCAGUGUUAGAUUAUAGAAUGGAUCAUGGUCUGUAGGGUACCAGUGUUAGAUUAUAGAAUGGAUCAUGGUGUGUAGGGUACCAGUGUUAGAUUAUAGAAUGGAUCAUGGUGUGUAGGGUACCAGUGUUAGAUUAUAGAAUGGAUCAUGGUGUGUAGGGUACCAGUGUUAGAUUAUAGAAUGGAUCAUGGUGUGUAGGGUACCAGUGUUAGAUUAUAGAAUGGAUCAUGGUGUGUAGGGUACCAGUGUUAGAUUAUAGAAUGGAUCAUGGUGUGUAGGGUACCAGUGUUAGAUUAUAGAAUGGAUCAUGGUCUGUAGGGUACCAGUGUUAGAUUAUAGAAUGGAUCAUGGUGUGUAGGGUACCAGUGUUAGAUUAUAGAAUGGAUCAUGGUCUGUAGGGUACCAGUGUUAGAUUAUAGAAUGGAUCAUGGUCUGUAGGGUACCAGUGUUAGAUUAUAGAAUGGAUCAUGGUCUGUAGGGUACCAGUGUUAGAUUAUAGAAUGGAUCAUGGUGUGUGUAGGGUACCAGUGUUAGAUUAUAGAAUGGGUCAUGGUGUGUAUGGUACCAGUGUUAGAUUAUAGAAUGGAUCAUGGUGUGUAGGGUACCAGUGUUAGAUUAUAGAAUGGAUCAUGGUGUGUAGGGUACCAGUGUUAGAUUAUAGAAUGGAUCAUGGUCUGUAGGGUACCAGUGUUAGAUUAUAGAAUGGAUCAUGGUCUGUAGGGUACCAGUGUUAGAUUAUAGAAUGGAUCAUGGUCUGUAGGGUACCAGUGUUAGAUUAUAGAAUGGAUCAUGGUCUGUAGGGUACCAGUGUUAGAUUAUAGAAUGGAUCAUGGUGUGUAGGGUACCAGUGUUAGAUUAUAGAAUGGAUCAUGGUCUGUAGGGUACCAGUGUUAGAUUAUAGAAUGGAUCAUGGUGUGUAGGGUACCAGUGUUAGAUUAUAGAAUGGAUCAUGGUCUGUAGGGUACCAGUGUUAGAUUAUAGAAUGGAUCAUGGUCUGUAGGGUACCAGUGUUAGAUUAUAGAAUGGAUCAUGGUCUGUAGGGUACCAGUGUUAGAUUAUAGAAUGGAUCAUGGUGUGUAGGGUACCAGUGUUAGAUUAUAGAAUGGAUCAUGGUAUGUAGGGUACCAGUGUUAGAUUAUAGAAUGGAUCAUGGUCUGUAGGGUACCAGUGUUAGAUUAUAGAAUGGAUCAUGGUGUGUAGGGUACCAGUGUUAGAUUAUAGAAUGGAUCAUGGUGUGUAGGGUACCAGUGUUAGAUUAUAGAAUGGAUCAUGGUGUGUAGGGUACCAGUGUUAGAUUAUAGAAUGGAUU